GGAGGCAACGGAGAGAAAAAUGAUAUUAGUGAUAAAAAGUAAUAUACAGAAUGAAAUAAAGUGGAAUCUAUGACAUGCUGAACUUUGAUUGAAAUUUAAGAAAUCAAUGCCAGAGGCAAUGUAACCCCUGCCACACGCCCACCCGCCCCCAGUGCCACCACCUGCUGCUGCUGCCGAUGAUAUCGACUGAUAAGAAGCGACACCGAUAACAGCGCGACCCUGGAGAGCAACAAACGAGAUGUACAGCUGCGAGGGCUCACAGUCGAUAAGCAAUUGUCUCGGAAAAAUUCAACAGUUGAGCCACUGUUGAGCACUCCUGACCGUAUUCUCAGAAGCGCCAUCUAGCGGGAACCUUUGUGAGCAACACUCGCGCUGCCAGCUCCGUGGCAAACCAGUUCCGUUCCACGCGCUUGACCAAUUUUAGUGUAUUCUUAGUCACUGCUGCUAAACCAGAAAUCUAAUAAGAAAAAAAGUGAAAAUAACAAAACAAAUGCGAUAAAUUUUGU
Molecule: long non-coding RNA, 506 nt
Organism: Drosophila mojavensis
Lineage: Eukaryota; Metazoa; Arthropoda; Insecta; Diptera; Drosophilidae
Exons: 2
Source: RefSeq, a predicted model, not a curated record